Molecule: ribosomal RNA, 479 nt
Filed under: uncultured bacterium
Lineage: Bacteria
Description: bacterial SSU rRNA
Rfam family: Bacterial small subunit ribosomal RNA
Source: RNAcentral
AGUUUGAUCAGUGGCUCAGGACACGCUGGCGGCGCGCUUUAUACAUGCAAGUCGAACGAGAAGCCAGAGCUUGCUCUGGUGGAAAGUGGCGAACGGGUGAGUAACACGUGAGAAACCUGCCCCAAAGACUGGGAUAAGCCGAGGAAACUUGGUCUAAUACCGGAUACCUUCUUUUAUCACAUGUUAAAAAGAAGAAAUGCUCCGGCGCUUUGGGAUGGUCUCGCGACCUAUCAGCUUGUUAGUGAGGUAAAAGCUCACCAAGGCAUCGACGGGUAGCUGGUCUGAGAGGAUGUCCAGCCACAUUGGGACUGAGAUACGGCCCAAACUCCUACGGGAGGCAGCAGUAGGGAAUCUUGCACAAUGAGGGAAACCUUGAUGCAGCGACGCCGCGUGCGGGACGAAGGCCCUAGGGUUGUAAACCGCUUUCAGUAGGGACGAAAGUGACGGUACCUACAGAAGAAGCCCCGGCCAACUAUGUG